Molecule: ribosomal RNA, 441 nt
Filed under: Triticum aestivum (bread wheat)
Lineage: Eukaryota; Viridiplantae; Streptophyta; Magnoliopsida; Poales; Poaceae
Description: partial small subunit ribosomal RNA
Source: RNAcentral
AUGUGUGUCCCUGAUCUGUGUGUCCUCAAGAGUGCUGUGUUAGGUUAUAAAGGUUAUAACUUGGGGGCAAUAGUUGCACGUAGGUUGCAGAAUAAUAGUAGAAAGGGAAAUUUAUUUGGAGGAAUUUAUGCAACCCAUGUGGCUAAUUAUCUUGGUAUAGCCCCACGAGAGGGUGAUAUGAUGUUACCUCCUGUUUAUUUGGAUUCUGAAGCUAUGGUCAAUCAUCAAUUUCUUGGGAGGAACGAACAAUUCCUCCAAUAUCGACUAAUCUAUGACAGACGCAACGUCGUCCAUGUUACUCUUCCUGCUCCCUACCUUUUUGAUUAUCAGGCAAAAGGAAGAUAUGUUGUCACCAGGGAGGAAGCAGCUGAACACGAGGGGAGAGCGGAGGCAGCUCGCCAACACGCUGCAGCUCUGGAGGCGGUUGCCGCUGCAUCUUAG